RNAcentral lists this ribosomal RNA (735 nucleotides) under Triticum aestivum (bread wheat). RNAcentral describes it as "partial small subunit ribosomal RNA". The record is from RNAcentral. Lineage: Eukaryota; Viridiplantae; Streptophyta; Magnoliopsida; Poales; Poaceae.
AUGUACCCACAGAAGGUGCAGGUUGGAGAUACCGAGGCUGAACCAACCCACACUUUUAGCUUGCUUUCUUAUGUUCUUGACGAGAAAGCAUUUUGGCACCGACGGCUGAGUCCACGAGAGCCAGAUUUAUUAACCUCCAGGGAGCUCAAUCUGUUUGAAGAAUGGAAGGUCUUUACCAAGGUUGAUGGUAGUGAAGGUCCAACCAGCAGCGACCCUAUCAGGACGACAGAGGACAUCACUAAUAGAAACAAAAGGACGACAUGCAUGUCCUUAAACGAGAUGGCUGACAACUGCGUUGCUUUGAAAAAAAGGGCAAGGAUGUUUCAGAACACAGAUGAGUUGUCGAGCAACAUUCAUCAUGAGAUGCCACACACUUUAGGAACUGUAAGCGCAUCAUCACACGAGAAAGAUCAGUCAUCAAGCGACGCUAAUCUUGGUCAGAUCCAACAAACACCGGUCCAUGGCACCUCUUCAGCUACCAACAAAGACUUCCCAUGGGACGACCCUGAUAUGGUAGCGCGGUUGAUCGAGUCUACCGAUAGGAUUGAGGAAGAGUGGUUUUCACAACAAAGACAAACUCAGUAUACCACAUCAGUUACACAAGACAUGCACAUAUCAGAGAUCAAGCCCAAUGAGAUUUGUUGCAGCUUCAGCUCAAAUCCAGUCGAAAGUGCUGUUUUCAACGACAUUGUGUCACGAAUACCACCCCAUUCAAGGCAAAAGAGCCAAGAAUAG